This 492-nucleotide ribosomal RNA is filed under the name uncultured bacterium. Its description in RNAcentral is "bacterial SSU rRNA". It matches the Rfam family "Bacterial small subunit ribosomal RNA", at positions 827 to 1324 of the family's 1533-position model. The record is from RNAcentral.
GUACGAAUGUAUUCAGUGACGCAGUUAACGCAAUAAGUGCUCCGCCUGGGGAGUACGGUGGCAACACUAAAACUCAAAGGAAUUGACGGGGACCCGCACAAGCAGCGGAGCAUGUGGUUUAAUUCGAAGCAACGCGAAAAACCUUACCAGGGCUUGACAUCCCUCUGACCGGAUCUUAACCGAUCCUUUCUUCGGACAGAGGAGACAGGUGGUGCAUGGUUGUCGUCAGCUCGUGUCGUGAGAUGUUGGGUUAAGUCCCGCAACGAGCGCAACCCUUGUCGUCAGUUACUAACAUUAAGUUGAGGACUCUGACGAGACUGCCGAGGUCAACUCGGAGGAAGGUGGGGAUGACGUCAAAUCAUCAUGCCCCUUAUGUUCUGGGCUACACACGUGCUACAAUGGUCGGUACAAUGAGAGGCAAUACAGUGAUGUGGAGCAAAUCACCAAAACCGAUCCCAGUUCGGAUUGCAGGCUGCAACUCGCCUGCAUGAA